Molecule: ribosomal RNA, 265 nt
Filed under: uncultured bacterium
Lineage: Bacteria
Description: partial 16S ribosomal RNA
Rfam family: Bacterial small subunit ribosomal RNA
Source: RNAcentral
CGAGUGGCGAACGGGUGAGUAACGCGUGAGGAACCUGCCUCAAAGAGGGGGACAACAGUUGGAAACGACUGCUAAUACCGCAUAAGCCCACGGGUCGGCAUCGACCAGAGGGAAAAGGAGCAAUCCGCUUUGAGAUGGCCUCGCGUCCGAUUAGCUAGUUGGUGAGGUAAUGGCCCACCAAGGCAACGAUCGGUAGCCGGACUGAGAGGUUGAACGGCCACAUUGGGACUAAGACACGGCCCAGACUCCUACGGGAGGCAGCAUG